UACGUAGGCAGCAAGCGUUGUUCGGAGUUACUGGGCGUAAAGGGUGCGUAGGCGGCCGUGUAAGUGUGGUGUGAAAUCUCCCGGCUUAACUGGGAGGGUGCGCUACAGACUGCAUGGCUAGAGUGUGGGAGAGGAAAGUGGAAUUCCGGGUGUAGCGGUGGAAUGCGUAGAGAUCCGGAAGAACACCGGUGGCGAAGGCGGUCUGCUGGGGGUCGAACUGACGCUGAGGCGCGACAGCGUGGGGAGCAAACAGG
Molecule: ribosomal RNA, 254 nt
Filed under: uncultured bacterium
Lineage: Bacteria
Description: partial 16S ribosomal RNA
Rfam family: Bacterial small subunit ribosomal RNA
Source: RNAcentral